GACAGAGGCCUCGAGCGUUAGGCGGAAUCACUGGGCUUAAAGCGCGUGUAGGCGGUUUCGUAAGUCUGCUGUGAAAGUCGGAGGCUCAACCUUCGAAAGCCGGUGGAUACUGUGAGACUUGAGUACGGAAGAGGAGAGUGGAAUUCCUGGUGUAGCGGUGAAAUGCGCAGAUAUCAGGAGGAACACCAACGGCGAAGGCAGCUCUCUGGGACGUUACUGACGCUGAGACGCGAAAGCGUGGGGAGCAAACAGG
Molecule: ribosomal RNA, 253 nt
Filed under: uncultured bacterium
Lineage: Bacteria
Description: partial 16S ribosomal RNA
Rfam family: Bacterial small subunit ribosomal RNA
Source: RNAcentral